RNAcentral lists this ribosomal RNA (818 nucleotides) under uncultured Gammaproteobacteria bacterium. Its description in RNAcentral is "bacterial SSU rRNA". It matches the Rfam family "Bacterial small subunit ribosomal RNA", at positions 58 to 870 of the family's 1533-position model. The record is from RNAcentral. Lineage: Bacteria; Pseudomonadati; Pseudomonadota; Gammaproteobacteria.
CAAGUCGAACGGUAACGGGCCCGCAAGGGUGCCGACGAGUGGCGGACGGGUGAGGAAUACAUCGGAAUUUGCCCAGUCGUGGGGGAUAACGUAGGGAAACUUACGCUAAUACCGCAUACGACCGGAAGGUGAAAGCGGGGGAUCGCAAGACCUCGCGCGAGUGGAUGAGCCGAUGUCGGAUUAGCUAGUUGGUGGGGUAAAGGCCCACCAAGGCGACGAUCCGUAGCUGGUCUGAGAGGAUGAUCAGCCACACUGGGACUGAGACACGGCCCAGACUCCUACGGGAGGCAGCAGUGGGGAAUAUUGGACAAUGGGGGCAACCCUGAUCCAGCAAUGCCGCGUGUGUGAAGAAGGCCUUCGGGUUGUAAAGCACUUUUGUCCGGAACGAAACGUGUCGGGUGAAUAUCCCGGCAAACUGACGGUACCGGAAGAAUCAGCACCGGCUAACUUCGUGCCAGCAGCCGCGGUAAUACGAAGGGUGCAAGCGUUACUCGGAAUUACUGGGCGUAAAGCGUGCGUAGGUGGUUUUUUAAGUCCGUUGUGAAAGCCCUGGGCUCAACCUGGGAAUGGCAGUGGAUACUGGAAAGCUAGAGUGCGGUAGAGGGUAGUGGAAUUCCCGGUGUAGCAGUGAAAUGCGUAGAGAUCGGGAGGAACACCAGUGGCGAAGGCGGCUACCUGGACCAGCACUGACACUGAGGCACGAAAGCGUGGGGAGCAAACAGGAUUAGAUACCCUGGUAGUCCACGCCCUAAACGAUGCGAACUGGACGUUGGGUGCAACUUGGCACUCAGUGUCGAAGCUAACGCGUUAAGUUCGCC